This 253-nucleotide ribosomal RNA is filed under the name uncultured bacterium. RNAcentral's name for it is "partial 16S ribosomal RNA". It matches the Rfam family "Bacterial small subunit ribosomal RNA", at positions 524 to 776 of the family's 1533-position model. The record is from RNAcentral.
UACGGAGGGUGCAAGCGUUAUCCGGAUUCACUGGGUUUAAAGGGUGCGUAGGAGGGCAGGUAAGUCAGUGGUGAAAUCUCCAAGCUUAACUUGGAACUGCCGUUGAUACUAUCUGUCUUGAAUACCGUGGAGAUGAGCGGAAUAUGUCAUGUAGCGGUGAAAUGCUUAGAUAUGACAUAGAACACCAAUUGCGAAGGCAGCUCGUUACUACGAAUAUUGACUCUGAGGCACGAAAGCGUGGGGAUCAAACAGG